AUUAAACGCUGGCGGCAUGCCUUACACAUGCAAGUCGAACGGUAGCGCGGGGCAACCUGGCGACGAGUGGCGAACGGGUGAGUAAAGCAUCGGAACGUGCCCUGGAAUGGGGGAUAACGUAGCGAAAGUUACGCUAAUACCGCAUAUUCUGUGAGCAGGAAAGCAGGGGAUCGCAAGACCUUGCGUUCUGGGAGCGGCCGAUGUCGGAUUAGCUAGUUGGUGGGGUAAAAGCCUACCAAGGCGACGAUCCGUAGCGGGUCUGAGAGGAUGAUCCGCCACACUGGGACUGAGACACGGCCCGGACUCCUACGGGAGGCAGCAGUGGGGAAUUUUGGACAAUGGGCGGAAGCCUGAUCCAGCCAUGCCGCGUGAGUGAAGAAGGCCUUCGGGUUGUAAAGCUCUCUCGGUGGGGAAGAAAUUGCACGGGUUAAUACCCUGUGUAGAUGACGGUACCCGACUAAGAAGCACCGGCUAACUACGUGCCAGCAGCCGCGGUAAU
RNAcentral lists this ribosomal RNA (499 nucleotides) under uncultured bacterium. RNAcentral's name for it is "bacterial SSU rRNA". It matches the Rfam family "Bacterial small subunit ribosomal RNA", at positions 29 to 524 of the family's 1533-position model. The record is from RNAcentral.